UUAGACUUUGACUUAUCGGUUGAAACUCCGUUAAGAGAAACCUUAAUUACAUGUGCUAUCCAAGUCUUGGAUGAGAGUCACAGUUUUGAAUGAUAUUUCUAUCGUUAAUAAAUUUCCUGACGUAUUUUUGAAGACUUCUUAGCCUACCCCUAGAGCGUGAAAUCGAAUUUUGUAUUGACCCCAGUACAAAACCCAUUUCUAAAACCCUCAAAUAUUUCU
This 219-nucleotide long non-coding RNA is filed under the name Panax ginseng (ginseng). RNAcentral describes it as "long non-coding RNA (PGIN_LNC017556)". Lineage: Eukaryota; Viridiplantae; Streptophyta; Magnoliopsida; Apiales; Araliaceae. The record is from RNAcentral.